This is a small nuclear RNA of Trichosurus vulpecula (common brushtail), 104 nucleotides long. Lineage: Eukaryota; Metazoa; Chordata; Mammalia; Diprotodontia; Phalangeridae. The record is from RefSeq and is a predicted model, not a curated record.
GUGCUCACUUUGGCAACACAUUUACUAAAACUGGAAUGAUACCGAGAUUAGCAUGGCGCCUGUGCAAGGGUGACAUGCAAAUUCAUGAAGUUUUCCAUAUUGCU